GCAGGGUAAGGAGUUCGAGACGCGGCUGAAGGAGAAGAAGCCGGGCGACCUUUCGGACGAGCUGCGCAUCGCCCUGGGGAUGCCGGUGGGGCCGCGGUGAGCCCUGAUGGCGGUGAGCCCUGAUAGCGGUGAGCCCUGAUAGCGGUGAGCCCUGAUAGCGGUGAGCACUGAUAGCGGUGAGCACUGAUAGCGGUGAGCCCCGAUGGCGGUGAG
Molecule: non-coding RNA, 213 nt
Organism: Meleagris gallopavo (turkey)
Lineage: Eukaryota; Metazoa; Chordata; Aves; Galliformes; Phasianidae
Source: RefSeq, a predicted model, not a curated record